GAAUGGUUGGACGAGAUAUAAUCUGUUUCAUUUAAAAUUUAGUUAGAAUUUUAUUUUUUAGUUAAAAAGCUAAAAUAUAUUCAAAAGACGAGAAGACCCUAUAAAUCUUGAUUAUUUAGUAAUUUUUAGUUUAUUUUGAUUUUUUUUAUUAUAAAUUUAUUAAUUAAUUUUAUUGGGGUGAUAUUAAAAUUUAAAUAACUUUUAAUAAUUUUUAUCAUUUAUUUAUGAUUAAGUGAUCCAUUAUUAGUGAUUAGAAAAUUAAGUUACUUUAGGGAUAACAGCGUAAUUUUUUUGGAGAGUUCUUAUCGAUAAAAAAGUUUGCGACCUCGAUGUUGGAUUAAGAUUCAUAUUUAAAUGUAGAAGUUUAAAUAUAAAGUCUGUUCGACUUUUUAUUCUUACAUGAUCUGAGUUCAAACCGGUGUAAGCCAGGUUGGUUUCUAUCUUUGAUUUGGUAAAAUAUUUUAGUACGAAAGGAAUUAAUAUUUAUUUUAAAAAAAUUAAUUUAUGAAUAAAUUUAAUUACUAU
Molecule: ribosomal RNA, 525 nt
Filed under: Teleopsis dalmanni
Lineage: Eukaryota; Metazoa; Arthropoda; Insecta; Diptera; Diopsidae
Description: partial 16S ribosomal RNA
Rfam family: Bacterial large subunit ribosomal RNA (bases 274-432)
Source: RNAcentral